UGGAGCAGCGCUUGGAGGCCUCUGCGUUGCAGUAGCCGCAGCGGGGCCUCUCCGGAGCUACUGCCUCUAGGACAUCCAGCCUGUAGGUUUCAGCCCACCUGGGGGAGGAGUCGAGAAGAGCUGAAUGGACGGACCGGGCAGGUGUACCAGGCCUGAAGGAAGAACAGGUGCUGCCUAGUGUCCCCAAGAGGUACAAUAGAAGGCAGGAAUCCUGCCUGGGACCUGGACGUACCUUCCCAUGGUUGAUUAGCAGUUCCUGGAUGGGCUCAGCCUGGCUGAUAGUUGCAUCAAGGAUGGCUUGCAUGUUCAGCUUCUCCAGGCUCUCAUGCUGCUUAUUCCACCUGCCCCCGAAGGGAUGUAUGUACAUUGGGUGACCAGAUGUGCAACGGGAGUGAGGGUGGGGUUGGAUCCUACUGAAGACUACCAUGAUCCUGUCCUGGGGCCAGAGGGGCACGGGGGCCAUACGCUUCUAUCUCAGAGAGCUUUGCCUACCCACCUGGAGGCCCCUCCACACUGGCAACCCCUUCUCCAAUGUCAGUUCCAAGCUCCUCCACUAAAAGACCAGUGACUCCA
RNAcentral lists this long non-coding RNA (573 nucleotides) under Mus musculus (house mouse). Its description in RNAcentral is "predicted gene, 34106 (Gm34106)". The record is from RNAcentral. Lineage: Eukaryota; Metazoa; Chordata; Mammalia; Rodentia; Muridae.